UAAUAGGAAAACGCUUUGUGUUGGAUG
Molecule: non-coding RNA, 27 nt
Filed under: Homo sapiens (human)
Lineage: Eukaryota; Metazoa; Chordata; Mammalia; Primates; Hominidae
Source: RNAcentral